GAAAAACAAAUAGAAAAUGUUCAUAUAAUAUUAGUAAUACGGUCUAAUAGUUUCUACAAACUCACCUUAAAUGGGUUUUCUAUGAAUAGAAUGUCAACUCUG
The sequence is a regulatory RNA element, 102 nucleotides long. It matches the Rfam family "Purine riboswitch aptamer". Rfam says of the family: Riboswitches are metabolite binding domains within certain messenger RNAs that serve as precision sensors for their corresponding targets. Allosteric rearrangement of mRNA structure is mediated by ligand binding, and this results in modulation of gene expression. A class of riboswitches that selectively recognises guanine and becomes saturated at concentrations as low as 5 nM. The record is from Rfam.